This 184-nucleotide ribosomal RNA is filed under the name uncultured bacterium. Its description in RNAcentral is "partial 16S ribosomal RNA". It matches the Rfam family "Bacterial small subunit ribosomal RNA", at positions 1316 to 1500 of the family's 1533-position model. The record is from RNAcentral.
CUGCAUGAAGUCGGAAUUGCUAGUAAUCGCGGAUCAGCAUGCCGCGGUGAAUACGUUCCCGGGCCUUGUACACACCGCCCGUCACACCAUGGGAGCCGGUAAUACCCGAAGUCAGUAGUCCAACCUCGUGAGGACGCUGCCGAAGGUAGGAUUGGCGACUGGGGUGAAGUCGUAACAAGGUAGC